UGUGGCACUGCAGCCCCCAGCAUAGCAGCAAACAAUAUGAUAGCUUCACUGGGGCUACCGUAGGUCACAUGAGUGAGGUUAUAGGCACAUCUUCCUUGGAUUGUGGCCAUGUUGGAUGUAAUAUCCAAGAUAUUGCAAAAAGAUAGCCACUAGAAUAGUUCAAUGUUCUGUGUGUUAGGGCUGUAUCACAGUGACUUUACUAUGAAACUAGAGUUCACUGUUAACCAAAUUUACAGAAGAAAAAUCAAGGAAGAAGUCCACAUAGUUUUAAAUCAAACAACUGAGUAAAAAGGUUCAUCAUGAUGGAAAAAGCAAUCGCAAGAAACAGGGACUCUUCAAAUCGAACAAAUACUCCAGCGAGGUUGAGGAAGUGGUGAAGUUGUCCAUCUGCUGUUCCAGAUGUAGGUCUCUCAAGAGGGUCCGCACCCUGCAGCCCUUAUUCCGUCUGGGCCAUAUCACAAAUACCUUCCGGACCGUUCCAGGGGAGACUGCAGAGUUGUCAUUCACUGGGACAGUAGCUUGAGCAGAGACCGUAGAAACGGACUCGCACGAGGUGAUGGGCUUGAUUCAAAGCCCACUGAAGGGAAUGAAAAAUCGCCCCUUGGCUUUGGACCAUUCGCUGUAUCCCUUAUGUACAACUAAACCCCCGGGGCUGAGCUGAAGCUAUGUCUUCAGGCCAAAUUCUAGGUGUGCUCUCAGAACACGUAUGUGGCUUUCAGUAGCGUACUGUCUGAGCGCCCCGUUUGUUGUAUUUGGAGACGUGAGUGUGCAGGAGUGGAAUCGUCUAUAAACUCCGUGUCAGUCUGCUUAUCCCAUGUGCUCCGAGGCCCUUCUUCCGCAAUCCUGUUUAAAAGUAAAUCAAAGCUCACAUUUUAAAUAUUCCGGCCCGUGCUUUGGCCUUUCGCAGAGUAGCCGGUGGGUUCAUGCCACACGAAAGGGAAGCGAAGAGUAGGACAGAAUUAGGACAGUGGUGGUGGUGGUGAUGGUUAAAAAUUUAACCCAGGAGAAAUCGAAGCUUCGUCCUCUUGGGCACGGAUGAAAUAAAGAGCCUGUACCACAGUCUUUGGGCAGAACUGGCUUGGGAAGUAGCUCGAAAUUUGUUUAUAUUUUAAUAGCUUAAAAACCUGUCCCCUGGCUCAAUACAGCAGUGUUUUCGCACUAGUUCAGGAGGUCAGGCAGGCGUAGCCACAGCAUGGGAGUUAUUUAUGUCAAGUCGGGUUAUUGUAAACUAAAUCCAGCAAAUUGCAGAUAAGCUCAUCAGGGCCGCCAGUGGGCCAGUGCGCCGAGGUCAGUCUGUCCAUCCGCUUGGAGACAGUAAUUGUCCCAGGUCUGACACCGCGUCGGGGGCUCGCAGCAGCUCCAUCCAUCUCCAUCCAGUUAGCGCCGUGCUCCCAACAGGGCGCGGGCUGACUUGGCUGUACAUCCUGCAGCUAAGACUAGCUGUGCUCGGCCCUGCCAUUCAUGGCCGGGGUAGCGCUGCCCAGUCUGCUUUUGCUUUCGGGAGACAGCAGAAUUCACAGACACAGUUGGCCCUUGUACAGGGACAAAUAGGAAAAUUGGCUGUUUUAAAAAAGCCUUUGACGGGCAAGUGUUUCAGGUCCCCCCGGCAGCACCCCCAAAAAGACGGGGGAGAGAGAGAAAUCCUUACUGAAACAUCGUUUUACCAGAGGAAGCUCUAGCACUAAAAUUACGUCCGUUUUCCUGGAUUAAUUCCUUUUAUUUUACUAAAUAAUGAUUUACACAGGCAAUUUCCCCUCCCCAGCAGUUUUACUCUGAGAGCAUAAUCCCCCCACCCCUCUUUCGGUUUUUCCUUGUUAGUCUCCGAUCUGUCUCCCCCUGAACCCAACUCUAUAAUUCCCCAUAAACCCUUAUUAUUAGGGAAAUUCUUCCUUUCUGACAAUUUAAUAGUCUAAAGUAAUCAGCUGCGUGACAUCGCCCAUCCAUCUUCUCAAAAGAGAAAACAAAGGGGAUGUUUUUUUCUCCGGGCCUCUCCAAAUCCUUUUCUAUUUUGAGAAGGGCUCCCCACAAUGGGAUCCUUAUGAACCAUAAUGGUUAUGUUUAUGAAGCCAGCGAUACCAGUGUAUGAAGACAAUUUUAUGCCUAAUUAGAAAAUGAUGUAACCAAGAGGGAGACAAAGAGGACUUGUUUCCCAUGGCUAGGUCCCGGGCCAUCACUCCUGGGCUAAUGUAUCGCCUCUGAUGUGCCUUACGUCCACUAUUUUUCUAACAUCCCGUCCAUUCGCUCCUCAGACUGUUUAGGGUGUUGUGGACAGUUAGUAAAACAGCUCAAUUUAGCGGUGGAUUAAAGCAAUUUUGAAAGACGUUCUGAAGGGAAUCGCAGGGAAAGGAGAGGAAGGGGCCCUCCCCGCUUCUAUCCAAGGGGACCUCACCUCUGUGGAGACUCCAAUAACUUCAACCCCAGCCCUGCUCGAUUAAGGGAUAAUUUUUAAUAUAUAUGCAAUAAAUGUUCACUUUGUUAGACUGAAUGACAGACAAUAAUAUCGGCAAAUCUUCAUCUCCAUCCAUUACCGGCAAAUGAGCCGCACAAAGGACAUAUUUGCUUUUGAUUAAUUUAUUUGCAGACGCUGUUUGAUAAAGCAAUAACUAUUUGGUUAAACUUGACAUUUGGUCUUCGGGGGGUUAUCUGACAAAUCCCCCCUCGU
This is a long non-coding RNA of Mauremys mutica (yellowpond turtle), 2662 nucleotides long. RefSeq lists it as uncharacterized. The transcript is spliced from 3 exons. The record is from RefSeq and is a predicted model, not a curated record. Lineage: Eukaryota; Metazoa; Chordata; Testudines; Geoemydidae.